Molecule: ribosomal RNA, 498 nt
Filed under: uncultured bacterium
Lineage: Bacteria
Description: bacterial SSU rRNA
Rfam family: Bacterial small subunit ribosomal RNA
Source: RNAcentral
GAUGAACGCUGGCGGCGUGCUUAACACAUGCAAGUCGAACGGAGAAAGGGUAGCUUGCUAUCUUUUCUUAGUGGCGGACGGGUGAGUAACGCGUGGGUAACCUGCCCUUUGCAGGGGGAUAACAGUGAGAAAUCACUGCUAAUACCGCAUACCAACUUCUUUCGCAUGAAAGAAGUUUGAAAGAUUUAUCGGCAAAGGAUGGACCCGCGUUGGAUUAGCUAGUUGGUGAGAUAACAGCCCACCAAGGCAACGAUCCAUAGCCGGCCUGAGAGGGUGAACGGCCACACUGGGACUGAGACACGGCCCAGACUCCUACGGGAGGCAGCAGUGGGGAAUAUUGCACAAUGGGCGAAAGCCUGAUGCAGCGACGCCGCGUGAAGGAUGAAGGUCUUCGGAUUGUAAACUUCUAUCAGCAGGGAAGAAAGGGCCUAUGGCCUAUGACGGUACCUGACUAAGAAGCCCCGGCUAACUACGUGCCAGCAGCCGCGGUAAAAGUGU